This 2684-nucleotide long non-coding RNA is filed under the name Homo sapiens (human). Its description in RNAcentral is "PREDICTED lncRNA (TCONS_00271572)". Lineage: Eukaryota; Metazoa; Chordata; Mammalia; Primates; Hominidae. The record is from RNAcentral.
GAGACCAAUUUGGCCUGGGGAGAACCGCCUUCAGGCGUUUGGACUCAGUGGAGGUUGUGAGUGCCCAGCAGUGUGGCCUGAAUCUCCGUGGGGUUUAGGGAGACGAAAGGACCCCAGAUCGACGUCCCCUCGUUCCCACUUUGGGGAUCGGCGCUCUGGCUGUUUCGUGAAGGAGAGAGAGGAACUCAGAGUGGUUUUCCAGAUGGGAAUCACAUUGCUCUCUGUCCCUGAGAUCUUGCUGGAGACAGGGCUACUCAGUCCCUCUUUGCCAGGUAAUCUGUUCCAGAAGAAACAUGUGUCGUUCUGACUGAGCCCCUGCCUGUCUGUCACCUUAAGAGCCAGUCAAUUCAUAUGGUCCCCAUAUCAAAGUCUCCUGUGCCCAGAGAGAGGAUUUCAUUUCAACCAUCACCAUCACCACCAUCAUCAUCAUCACCAAGAGAUGUUGUUGAAUUGAUACUGGAAAAGCAGUUUCUAUUGAGCCCCCAAAUGAAGAGUGAGUGCAGAUGAAGAGGAGGCAGGACUCACAAGCCCUUGAACUUUAUUCCAGAUCUGUUAGCACCUACAGGACCCUGCACCAGGAUUUCAUCUGUACUAUCAGCUUCUUCAAAGAGAGAGAGGUUGUUGAAUUGAUAUUGGAAAAGCAGUUUCCCAUUGAGUCUCAAAUGAAGAGAGUGCAGAUGAAGAGGAGCUCUUCAUGUGGAUGUCUGAGCUCAUAUCAGGUGUCUGAAAGAGGCAGAUUCUGAGGAUUUGGGUCAUGAUGGCUGCCAAAGCUUCUACUCCUGACUUAAAGGGCAACAAUCCUAGGAGACCACCAGCACUUACAUCCCUGGUAGGACAUGACACCUGCUUAUGGCUCAGAAGUGACAAAAGAGAAUUAUCAGGAUGGCAGUCCUUAUAACCAGAUGCUUAUCAACAUUCUUCACUACAUUCUGAAGAUGAAUUUCUACAAGGGAAAUUGUUUAUGUAAGUGGUGUGUACCCUUUGAUAUGUAUUGACAUAGUGGCACACAUAGAGUUGUGCCAUUUAAACUCCCCAAGGGGAGGCAUGUGAGGUCGGCCACAGAGGACUGAAGAAAUUAGUUAAUGCUGACAUCCUAUCACAUAGGGUGGGUCCUGGACUCCGUCAUGGACCUGCUGUCAUGCCAUUGCCACAAUUGGAAGACGUGGAAGUGAUCAGAUGCAAUCAAAUUUUGUACACAAGCACAUCCUGAUGUAGCGAUGAGGGAAAGGGGGAAGAGGAAUGAUCAUUGCUUGGACUUACAGGACAGAGGCAGAAGGGCUAGGACACAGGCACUCUUUAUACGCAUUCUUUUUUUUUUUUUUUUUUUGAGACGGAGUAUCGCCUGUUGCCAGGCUGGAAUGCAAUGGUGUGAUCUCAGCUCACUGCAACCUCCGCCUCCUGGGUUCAAGCGAUUCUCCUGCCUCAGCCUCCUGAGUAGCUAGGACUGUAGGCACGCACCACCACGCCCAGCUAAUUUUUUGUAUUUUUAGUAUAGUCGAGGUUUCACCAUGUUGGCCAGGAUGGUCUCCAUCUCUUGAGCUCGUAAUCCGCCUGCCUCGGCCUUCUACAGUGCUGGGAUUACAGGCGUCAGCCACCACACCCGGCCCUAUAUGCAUUCAUUUUUAUGUAAAACAUAUGCAUCAAUUCUUUUGUAUGAAAACGUUUGGUCAUUACUGUGGUACAACAGAAGACCAGGUCAGUACCAUAUUUUUUUUUCAUAUGUACACGGAUUUUUAUUUUGUUUUAGACAUUGUCUUACACACAAUAGACAUUCAGUAUUUGUUGAAAUUAAUGAAAGAAAAGAGAAACAUGAAAACGGUCUGAGAAGACAAUAAUCUGCUUUUUAAUUUAUAGACAGCAAUUAGGUCAAACAAUUAUAGCAAUGAUGACAAAGAACAAUAUCUGAGGUACACUCAAAACCUUAUGAGGGUUAUUUGCCAGUUUUCCUGGCUAUUUCUACACCCUUUGAUCUCUAGUGAAUGUUUCUACUUACAACUACAUAUUUUGUAAGUUUUGCCUACUGUAUUUCAAUCAACACUGUAAAAAAUGAAGAGAGUCUUUUUGGUUCAAAUUUGGUUUUUAGUUAAUUAUGUGAUGUGUAUAUGAUUUUUUGUUACCUUUUCUGUAUAGAUAUCAGGAGAAUCGAAAAUAUGUUGAUGGUGGAAUUGUGGUAUGACAUUUUUACUGACUACUACUCUGCAAAAGUUUUAUCUAUGAGCUCUAUGGGUUGUUCCUGGCUUUUGAAAAUUUACUUUAAGGAAGUGUUUUUGGAAAUGGAUUAUAAGUAUACAAGUAUGCAAUCUUAUGUAUUUGCAACUGUCUAAGAUGUUAUGAUACUUUCCUCCCUGCAAUCUGGCAUUCAUCCAUUCAAGACAUUUUAAUUGAACUCUUACAAUGUUCUUAAUACUAUGAUAAGCCCUGAAGGUAAACUGUGACUAAAAAUGUUGCAGGAUAAAAUACAGGAUUCCUAGUUAAAUUUGAAUUUUAGAUAAACAACAUUCUUAUACUAAAAAUUAUUCCAUGUUUAUCUGAAAUUCAAAUUUAGCUGAGUGUCCUGUAACUUUUUAUUUUAUUUGUUUACUUGUUUGUCUGUGAUAAAUAUGGCAGCCCUAGUAAAAAUAAAUAUAGCCCCUGAUUUAUUCUAAUUUACUCUUUGGUUGGCAAGGAAGGCACUAAUCAAAUAA